UUAAGCAUUCAGAAAGUAAUCAUCGAAUUUUUUUAGCGAGUCUGUGGUUGGUGGAAACAGAUAGAAGAAGAUGAUGAAAUUGGGCUGGAUGUUAUUAAGAAUUUGAAAUCAUAAGAAUUCGGUGAGCACACCUUAUAGUGCAACUCGUGAAGCGAGUAAGAGCGAUAGGAAUAAUUCCUAUAAUUGAGGUGGCACCGCGCAUCGACGUCCUCACA
RNAcentral lists this non-coding RNA (215 nucleotides) under Mycobacteroides abscessus. RNAcentral's name for it is "Mycobacterium abscessus T-box sequence". It matches the Rfam family "T-box leader". Rfam says of the family: Uncharged tRNA acts as the effector for transcription antitermination of genes in the T-box leader family. T-boxes are found upstream of many aminoacyl-tRNA synthetase genes and some amino acid biosynthetic genes usually in Gram-positive bacteria. The record is from RNAcentral. Lineage: Bacteria; Bacillati; Actinomycetota; Actinomycetes; Mycobacteriales; Mycobacteriaceae.